CCUGAAGAUGAGCCUGCGGUCCAUUAGCUAGUUGGUAGCGUAAAAAGCCUACCAAGGCAACGAUGGAUAGCUGGUCUGAGAGGAUGAUCAGCCACACUGGAACUGAGACACGGUCCAGACUCCUACGGGAGGCAGCAGUAAGGAAUAUUGCUCAAUGGCCGAAAGGCUGAAGCAGCAACGCCGCGUGAAGGAUGAAUGGCCUUUGGCCUGUAAACUUCUGUAAAAAGGGAAAAACAGUCAGGUAUAUCCUGAUUUGAUUGUACCUUUGAAGUAAGCCCCGGCUAACUACGUG
This 292-nucleotide ribosomal RNA is filed under the name uncultured bacterium. RNAcentral's name for it is "partial 16S ribosomal RNA". It matches the Rfam family "Bacterial small subunit ribosomal RNA", at positions 218 to 507 of the family's 1533-position model. The record is from RNAcentral.